Molecule: non-coding RNA, 694 nt
Organism: Theobroma cacao (cacao)
Lineage: Eukaryota; Viridiplantae; Streptophyta; Magnoliopsida; Malvales; Malvaceae
Source: RefSeq, a predicted model, not a curated record
ACCACAUGAGUCAAGAAUGGAAAUGAUGUGGUUUGGAUGGGAAUGAAGAAAAGUCAAAGUUAUUUGGAAUAAUAUUAAAUUGGAACCAAGUGAGGUGAAUGGCCGGCCAUACAAAAGAAAAGAAGAAAGACAAAAAAGUAAAGAAAACAAAAGAGAAGAGUGUAGAAAGGAAGGUGGGGGCCAGCCAUGUGAGGAAAGAAAAAGGAAGAGAGAAAAGUUAAGUCGAUUAGUGAAGAAGAAAAAGAGAAGAAAAAUAAAGGAAGAAAAAAAUGAAGAGAAAAAGGGAGAGAAAGAACCGUGAGAGAGGAAGAGCAAAGAGAAUGGUUUUGCUGCACUUUGAGGAAGGAAAAAGAGAGUUUUUGCUGCAAUUUUGGAGGAAGAAGAAAUCUGAAAAUUUUGAGUUUAUUGUGGAGGCGUGCCGAACGAAGUAUGUGACCGACAAAUAGGAAUAAUUAUAUACGCGUACAAAUCAAUAGUGAAGUAAUAUCCCACUAUUAUGAGAUAGGAAUCAGCCUAGCGUGUAGUCAGUGAUGCGUUUGGUCCACCGUGAAUAGGUAAAGGCAUCUCCUAGCAUUUUAUUCUGAGUCACUCUGCUGUUAGGGGUCAAGUCGUAGCAUUUCAUUUCUUAAGUUGUAAAUGAAUUCUAAAUUUUUAUAUAAGCAUUAAUUUGGAGAUUAUAGAUUUAAUGCAUAUA